RNAcentral lists this long non-coding RNA (2844 nucleotides) under Medicago truncatula (barrel medic). RNAcentral's name for it is "lncRNA gene11300". The record is from RNAcentral. Lineage: Eukaryota; Viridiplantae; Streptophyta; Magnoliopsida; Fabales; Fabaceae.
CUUGGAUUAGAUAAAGAGUUGCUCCUAAAAACUUAAAAAAUUCGUAGCUAAAACGAGAGAAAAGAAAAUACUAACACAACACUAUAUAUGUACUUAAAAACACUUCACUACCUUGUUGCUUAGAAGGAAACAGAAAAACUACACAAACACAAGAAACCAAAACAGGACAAAUUCAAAAGGAUAAGGCAAGGUAGGUGGUGGUAGGGUUGGCUAGGAAAGUAGCAUUGAUGAAGCACAGUAGUACAUUUUUAUUUUACAUGAACCAUAAAGUUUUUUAUUUACAUUUACAUCUUGAUCUAAUGUUGCUCCCAUUCCAUCCAAUUGGAUUCACUACCAACUCGAGGAAUACUGUUGACUCUUGAGAACUUAUCAACCUUAAAGUUGGCCCCACACAUCACUCCUUCACUGUCUAUCCUUGGCAUUGCCUUCAACUUGUUCAACGGAUGCUCAAAGCUCAUUAAACCUCCUUCACUAUGAAACAUACACCCUGCAUUCAUGAUUCAAUGUUAUCUCAUAUCAAUAUCAAAACUAUUUUUAUUACUUCCCCUUGAAUGUAUUGAAGGGUUGUGCUUUAAUUGGUAUUUUAAACAUAAAAUAAAUUGGAAUACUAGCCUAAAUUAAAAAUUAAUGUUUUUUAUUUUAUUUUUUAUAAACCCACAUGGGUUGGCUUAGUGGUAAUUGGCUUAGGACUUGGAAGUGUGCUCUUCCUCGAGGUCUCAGGUUCGAUUCUCUCUGGUGCUAAUUUAAGUGGACUAAUUUUGCUUCUUAAAAAAAAAAAUUAAUGUUUUUAUAAACAUGUUAUAGAUGCCAAGUAUUUACUUUUGUUUAACAACAAGAGCAGUGUUAUUUGAACAACUCUUUUGGUACAACUUUUGAGACAACUUUGUUAUUCUCUCUGCUCUUGUUUGAAGUGUCCGAGUCUCUGAUUUGGAUUUGCUUUAGCCGCAAAUUCACACAUUCACGUAGUUAACACAUCAAUGAUUGUUGGAUCAAGAUCGGACAAACAUAAAACAAGCCAAUUUUUUUAACUCUAAAUACUGAUAUUGAAAUCUAGACCGUCUGGUCUUGAUACAACAAAUAUCAAUGUUUCGAGUAUGUGAAUGUGUGAGAUUUGUGUCCGCAGACAAUCUAAACCCCUUGAGUCUCUUAUACCACUUGGACCAGCCACAUGCUCUUAAAGUAGUUUUACCAAUUUGAAGGAUUUUGUAUUCAAGAUAAAUGGGUAUGAAUGAUGGCUAAAAUUUUGGUACCUGCUGGAAAAGGAGCAAAGGAUUUAGCACAACCCUCUUGUAUAACAUUAAGAUCAUCAGAGAUCACAACAGAUCCAUCAGCUGCAAUACCCCAAUACAACUUCAAUCCACCAUCAGAACCCUGCAUAAAAAACAAACAUCAUUGAUUGAUUGAGAUUUUGAAGAAUUGUUAACAAAGAACAUGGCAGAGUAACAAAUAUAUAUACCAGUGCAGCAAAAACAGUUCCAAAUGUGCUGUCAUAGACAACAAAGGCAAAACUGCCAUCAAGUUCCUUGACAACUUGAUCUGGUGGAUAUGGACCACGGUCACGGAGUGUCCUAUAAGCUUCAAUCAGAAACAUGGCUUCAUCAGUUCCCUUUGACAAACCAUAUUGCUUGUUCAGUAAGGAUAAAUUGUUCAAACUCCCCAAGAACAAACAGUAUAUGUCAUCAAGCCCACAGAACAACCUGCAAAUAAAAUACCAUCUCUUAGCACUAAUAACAUUUAAAAAAAUAUUAUAAUUUUGUAACAACCAUGUUAUUGGCGCAAGCAAAUUUUUCCGAGUACUAAUCUCCUUCAAUUUGGUCAGCAACAUCAAUUUUUCCAAUAAAAAAAGUAUGCAACAGUAAUUUGAACUGUAACAUAAUACACAUGUCUCUGGAUCAAAAGCAGACUCUAAUACCAUGUUAAGCUUUUAUGUUGGACCGAAUUCAUCCUUAUAAAAGGAAUUAAAGAUGUCACUCUUUAUAAACUAUAAUUAGACCACAUACAAUCGCGAUUCUUUCUAAUAUCAAAGAACCGCGACAUAAAUUAAAAAAAUCAAGUACUACUUCACUACUUAUAGUAAAAAAAAAAAAAAAAAAAAAGGUCUACUCAAAUAAAUGACAUAUUGUUGCAUAAUAGUAAAUAUAUAUAACCUUUGAUGAACAGAAAAAGGCUUAUCAGGUCUAACAUAAGCAAGAGCAGCUUUUCCAAAGUUCAUAGAACAAGUAUUAUCAGGAUGAUGAGAAAUGAAUUCUCUGAGAAUUUCUUCAGGAAGCUUAGGUUUCUUUAAGCCUUUGUAUGAUGCAGGGCUAUUCAGCUCUUCAGGUGGAUUAGCAAGACCUUUGUGGAAAAUUCCCAACAUUUUCUUCUUCUUCGUGUGAUUCUACACCAAAAUCUUGAGGUCUAAGAAAAAUAACUUUGUUUACUUAGGUAUUGAAUACGAAGGAUUUAAAAUAAAAUGGAAGCAGGGUCAUUGAUUCAUUUUGAUAUUUAUAUGAGAGAUUUACAUAACACCUACCCCCAGAGUGAACAAAAGUGGUUAAGGUUGUCUUGUCUUUUUUUAAGAUGAAUGGGUGGGUCCUAUUUUGAUGGAUAAGUAUGAAACUUCAACAAGUAUCUUCUUUGAUCUUAUCAUGAGAAAUUUGUUUAGGUACUUUCAGAGUGACUAUUUUUAUGUGAGCAGUAAUAUAUGAACGAUCAUUUGAGAUAAUUUUUUAUGACAAUUUCAUUUUUCUUUAUUUUUAUUGAUAAAAAACAAUAGAGAAAAAAAAGAUAGAAAAUUAAAACAUAAUGGGAGUAUUAAAGAAAAAUUGUUAAAAAAGUUAUUAUAAAAUGAUUGUAUAAUUUUUU